RNAcentral lists this small RNA (576 nucleotides) under Malus domestica (apple). RNAcentral's name for it is "sRNA MD07G0242500". The record is from RNAcentral. Lineage: Eukaryota; Viridiplantae; Streptophyta; Magnoliopsida; Rosales; Rosaceae.
GAGGUAGUGUUCCCUUAAUUUCCCGAGUGAGGAAAACUUCUCGGUUGGAGACUUGAAAAAUCCAAGUCACUGAGUAGUCACGAACUUUUGAGUACCAAGGCGUAGUAGCAUAUGGUGGGAGUCCCCCAAGUCUCUAGUCGAGGGAGUUGACGAAUGAGGUUGCUAGGCCCGAAUAAGUGGAAUUGCAGAAGGUGUAACCGUUGGUGCAUUAACAUCAUAAUGGAAGCAUCACAAUGAUGGAAGCAUCACAAUGAUGAAAGCAUCAUAAUGAUGAAAACACCAUAAUGAUGAAACAUCAUAAUGAUGUUUCUUUGGUGGAAUUGUUUUUCAUUUCCCCUAACAACCGGAAUUGUUUUUUCAACAUAACACCAUCAUCUGUAGGUCGAAUCACAAAGUUGUCUUCAUGAAAGUUGUUCGUUAAUUCCUUAACUACAACAUAUCCAAAUUGGAGAGCCAUCGGAGCAGUACAACUCCAGAAAUCCAGAUCAGCAUGCUUUCUUCAUUGAAGUUGUUCCUCAGCUUGUGAACUACAACAUAUCCAAAUUUGAGAUCCCUCGGAGCUGUAUAACUCAAGAA